GCCUCUAGCAUGAAGUCAGGCAAGUGA
RNAcentral lists this ribosomal RNA (27 nucleotides) under Symbiodinium sp. clade F ex Acropora tenuis. Its description in RNAcentral is "partial 28S ribosomal RNA". Lineage: Eukaryota; Dinophyceae; Suessiales; Symbiodiniaceae. The record is from RNAcentral.